This 740-nucleotide ribosomal RNA is filed under the name uncultured cyanobacterium. RNAcentral's name for it is "bacterial SSU rRNA". It matches the Rfam family "Bacterial small subunit ribosomal RNA", at positions 536 to 1276 of the family's 1533-position model. Lineage: Bacteria; Bacillati; Cyanobacteriota. The record is from RNAcentral.
CAACGUUAUCCGGAAUUAUUGGGCGUAAAGAGUCCGUAGGUAGUCAUGCAAGUCUGCUGUCAAAGCCCACAGCUCAACUGUGGAUCGGCGGUGGAAACUGCAUGACUUGAGUGCGGUAGGGGUAGAGGGAAUUCCCAGUGUAGCGGUGAAAUGCGUAGAUAUUGGGAAGAACACCGGUGGCGAAAGCGCUCUACUGGACCGUAACUGACACUGAGGGACGAAAGCCAAGGUAGCGAAAGGGAUUAGAUACCCCUGUAGUCUUGGCCGUAAACGAUGGAUACUAGGCGUUGUCUGUAUCGACCCGGACAGUGCCGAAGCUAACGCGUUAAGUAUCCCGCCUGGGGAGUACGCACGCAAGUGUGAAACUCAAAGGAAUUGACGGGGGCCCGCACAAGCGGUGGAGUAUGUGGUUUAAUUCGAUGCAACGCGAAGAACCUUACCAAGAUUUGACAUCCCGUGAACUUUCCAGAGAUGGAUUGGUGCCUUCGGGAACACGGAGACAGGUGGUGCAUGGCUGUCGUCAGCUCGUGUCGUGAGAUGUUGGGUUAAGUCCCGCAACGAGCGCAACCCUCGUCUUUAGUUGCCAUCAUUAAGUUGGGCACUCUAGGGAGACUGCCGGGGACAACUCGGAGGAAGGUGGGGAUGACGUCAAGUCAUCAUGCCCCUUAUAUUUUGGGCUACACACGUACUACAAUGGUCGGGACAAAGGGCAGCAACCCCGCGAGGGCAAGCGAAUCUCA